Molecule: ribosomal RNA, 107 nt
Filed under: uncultured bacterium
Lineage: Bacteria
Description: partial 16S ribosomal RNA
Rfam family: Bacterial small subunit ribosomal RNA
Source: RNAcentral
UACGUUCCCGGGCCUUGUACACACCGCCCGUCAAGCCAUGGGAGUUGGGAGUGCCUGAAGUCCAUAACCGUAAGGAGUGGCCUAGGGCAAAACCGAUGACUGGGGCU